UGAGAAGAGCGUCGGGCGUGCCAGCCAGGGUGCAUGAUUUGUUUGUUUCUUCCAGCUUAAAUUAUCACCGUUGUCACUGUUGUUAAUUAAACCGGUGGGGAUCUCUUUGUUGUAUGUACCUCGAUUAAUUAGUUUUUGCUUGUUGUUAUCAGUGUUAGACGCACAGCAAUAUCAGUUCAGUCGAUCGGCUACCCUUUGUAAAACCGCUGUAAGAACUUCCACCAUUUGCCACGCAUGUGCUCUGUUUCUUGGAUGAUGCUACUAUUAGUGGUGUGAGCAUCAGCCUGAUUCUGGUAUUAUCCAGUUGGUUGGUUAGCUUUAAUCAUAUCACUUGAGCCAAUCAUUGUCUGCGGAGUUGAUUAUGGGAGAAUUAUCAGAUUAAUGGUGUCGUAAUCAGCAAGUAAUAGCAAGCAUAGUCGCGUACUAGCUUUGCUGCUACUGUUGCUGUAGAUAGUGCUCCUGCAAUAAUUGGUGCUUGAUGGCGACGGCUCUCCAGAGCCUUCCACUCGCCUCUGUCUGCACCUACUACCAUCGCACGCUUAUCCGCGCACUGUUUUGUUGUGUUUUGCGGGUCGGGGUUUACGUUUUCGAGUGUUCGUCUUUUCGUUUAAUUAAGGGGGGGUGUUUAGUUCAAAAACUACUCUCAAAAAUAUUAUAUCAAAUCAAAAAUAUUAUAUCAAAUGUUUAGACAUCUAAAUAAAAUAUUAAAUAUACAGCCACGUUAAAACAAACUCCACAGUUACCGAGUUCGAACUCGUGAGACGAAUCUUUUGAGACGAAUCUUUUAAGCCUAAUUAGAACAUGAUUAAGUGCUAAUGAUGAAUCAAUUAGACUCAAAAAGAUUCGUCAUGAUUAAGUGCUAAUGAUGAAUCAAUUAGACUAAAAAGAUUCGUCUCAUGGUUUUUAGGCAGAAUCUGAAAUUUGUUUUGUAAUUAGAUCAUGUUUAAUACUUCAAAUGUGUGUAUAAAGAUUUGAUGUGAUGUUUAUGAAAAACUUUUUACAAACUAAACAAGCCCUAAAUAAACAAAAUGAUAUUUAUAAAUAAAAAAUAAUUUAUAUAUAAACUUUUUACAUACAUAUUUCUAACGAUAUACUGUCUCCGUUUCAAAAUAAGUUUAUUUUUUAAUUUUUGGAUACACUUCAUCUUAUUUAAAGUUUUUUAUGAUUAAUAUUUUUAUAGUUAUUGCAUAAUAAAACAUGAUGGUGUUUUAUAUGAGACUAAUUUUUUAAAAGUUUUUUGCAAAUUUUUUAAAUAAGAUGCAUGAUGAAACGUCGAACAGAAAUCAAAAAAUAAAGUAAUUGUAGGUAGUAAAUAGCAAUUUCAAAAAUAAAAAAUCCUAAAAUAUAGAUUUAACAUAGAAAAACUAAAUUAAGUCCAUGUUUAGUUCCAAAAACUUUUUCCAAAAAUAUCAUAUCGAAAUCAUAUCGAAUUUUUGUACAUUUAAAUGGAGCAUUAAACAUUGAUAAAAAUAAAACCUAAUUGCACGGUUAUGCAGAAAAUCGUGAGACGAAUCUUUUGAGCCUAAUCGGUGCGUGAUUAGCCAUAAGUGUUGCAGCAACUCACAUUUGCUAACGAUGGAUUAAUUAGGCUCAAAAGAUUCGUCUCGCAGUUAAUUAGCGAAAUCUAUAAUUUGUUUUAUAAUUAGACUACGUUUAAUACUUUAAAUAUGUAUCCGUAUAAUUGAUGUGAUGAUUUUGCAAAAAAAAUUUGCAAAGUGAACGGGGCCUAGGCCUUGUUUAGUUUGCAAAAAAAUUUUGCAAAAACAUCACACCAAGUUUUUAAACACAUUUUAGUAUUAAACACAGCCUAAUUACAAAACAAAUUUCAGAUUCCGCCUGAAAACCGCAAGACGAAUCUUUUGAGUCUAAUUAAUCCGUCAUUAGCACAUAUUGGUUACUGUAGCACUUAUGUCUAAUCACGUUCUAAUUAUGAUUAAAAGAUUUGUCUCACGAUUUUCUCCAUAACUAUAUAAUUAGUUUUAAUGUUCAUUUAUAUUUAAUGCUUUAUUUAGAUGUCUAAAGAUUCGAUGUGAUGUUUUUGAAAAUAAACAUGACCUAAGCACACAGACGAGCGGAGGGUAGUAUUUUCUCUGUCCUAAAAUAAAUUAAUUUUUUACUUUUUAUCUAUAUUUUUUUAUUAUUCGUCUUAUUUAAAAUUGUUUUGUGAUUAAUAUUUUUAUUUUUGUUAGAUGAGAAAUUAUGAAUAGUACUUUACGUGUGACUAAUUUUUCUUAAUUUUUUGAAAUUUUUCAAAUAAGACGGAUGGUUAGACGUCGGACAUAGAAACCGAAGAAUUGGUUUUUGGACACAGAGAGAGUUGACGGCUAUUUUGCGCCAGACUGGCAGUGCACAGUUAAAUUGCAGAAUAGUGCUACGGUGUGUACUGUGCGUACCACGAGUUAGAAAUGGAGAAAAGACUGGCAGAGCUGGUAGAGCUGGUAGCUUGGUACGGAUACGAGUAGCAGUGUAGCGCUCCUGUAGAUAGUACUACUAUUAGUAUAGGUGUAAGCUAGACCGUGAACUCGCUUAGGGACUGUUUGAAUGGGCUAAACUUCUUAGCCCCAUGUCAUAUCGGCUGUUUAGAUAUUAAUUUAAAAGUAUUAUAUAUAGACUAAUAAAAAAACUAAUUUCAUAACUGAGUGGUAAUCCGUGAAACGAAUUUUUUAAGCCUAAUUAAUCCGUAAUUAGAGCAUGUUUACUGUAUCAUCAUAUAGGCUAAUCAUGGAUUAAUUAGGCUUAAUAGAUUUAUUCCGUGAAUUAGUCCAAGAUUAUGGAUGGGUUUUAUUAAUAGUCUACGUUUACUAUUUAUAAUAAGCGUCCAAACAUUCAAUGGGAUAAGGACUAAAAAUAAGUCACUUGUCCUAAACGCCACCUUAAACGGGUUAUCUAGUGGUUAUCUGGUUCAUUAGCUUAUAAGCACAGCUACAAUAGUAAACUAUAAGCUAGCUAUAAACAUAUUUUAAAUAGAUAAAGAAAGGAGAGAGAGAGCAGUGAGCUACUAAUUUGUAUCUAGCUACAGCGUGGGCUCUAAGACACACAGUAUGUUUAUGUAUUAAUGUUUUAUAAGUAAAUAUUGUAUAAUUGUCUGCGGAUUAAAUAUAGAUAAAUUGAAGUUAGUAGAUAGCUAUCCUAUUGAACUUGCUCUAAGCGGGUGACGGACGGGUGCACUUACACCCCUUAACUACUUAACUACUAGCACUAGAAUUGGAGUAUCACAUUUUUUUUUGUGUGCGUUCUGGAGUACCGGUAGAUAUGAAAUUUUUUAUUUUUCAACCAUUUUAACAAAUAAUUGUAUUACUAAACCUCCCGGGGAAAUUUUUUCCAAAACUAAACUUUUUGGCCAUGCCAGUGUUGAUGGCGUGGCAAGACAACGCUGUCAUGCAACGAAAUUGGCCUAUAAUGGCGCGGCAGACUUGCCACGCUAUUGUCGGUGGUGUGGGAAGCCUUUUCGCCACGCUAAUGUUUGUGGCGUGGCUAAAAAGUUCAUACACACUGGAAAUAUUUCCCCGGAGGUUUAGUAAUAAAAUUAUUUGAUAAAAAGGUUAAAAAAUAAAAAAAUUUCGGUAGAUAUAUGUCACGCCCAAAAAUUUCUCACACAAAUUUCUGAACUUAAUUGUGUAUUAAAAUCCUUGUCCAGAACCAGCCAGGGUAAAAAAAGACAAUGUUGAUUACAUAACCAUCGUUCUUAUAAACAACUUAAAAUAACACUUAUUCUAACGAAAAUGCAGCGGAAAAGAAAAACGUAGACUAGCUUCAGCGGGUACGGCUCCAGUCCACAGGCAACGCUUCGACGGUGGAAUAGCUCACUUCUGAGAGUCACCUCCAUCGGAGUCAACUUCAAACUCUGAAGGAAAAAAUUGAACAAGGUUGAAUACAAACCACCAUACCCAACAAGCAGCAUGUAAAAGAGGGUAAUAAAUGAUGCAAAUGAUCAACAAGGGUAAGCUAUGGUUAGUUGAAAUAAAGCAAUAUUUAAUAAUUAACAGCGGUUAAACUAAAUAAAGGUAAUUAAGUAAAUAAACGAAUAAAUAAAUAACAGUUGUAAAAUAUCACAUCACUGUCCAACGUUACACCACGCUGCGACAGGCCCAACCACUACUCAACACUACACCACGUUGUAGUAGUUCCCAAGUGAAAGCCCGUUUACCCAAGUCAUUAAAGGUUCGACUAAGCACAGUGAAGCUGGCAGCUCACACUUAACCGUGGGCACGGCUAUUCGAAUAUGUUUACUUUGAUCAGAGUUGUACUACCGUGCCCACAAGACAUAGUCCCACUACACUUAAACGUGCGCUGACACACCACCAUGGCAUACCAAAAGGGAACUAUGAUAGGACCCGUCACAUAACCCUCCCUAUUCAAUCUCCCUAUUCAAUCGUACCACACUUCAGGUUUCGCCCCCUCCUUUACUCCAAGUCGGGCAGCCCCUUCUUGUGCCUAGGUGAAUCCAAUAGCAGCAUAGGCCAUCGUUACCCCACGACUCCCAUCCAUACUCCAUCACGCUCACUUUUAACUGGGUACGUCGAAUAGUUCGUAAUUACACUCCAAAUCCCACCGUUACUCAUUCUGGCUCGUGGUUACCACGGACAUAACUUCUAGGGUUUCCCGCGAACCAGUUCUUAAUUGUCAUGGGUGCGACUCUCAAAACCAAGCACCCACAACCCACCAUUAUCAAUAUUUUAGUUGGCAUUAACCCGUACCGGGUAAUGAAUCAAAAUUAAUAGCUAUUCAGAACUAUUAAUGAUUAAAGGGUGAUCCCCUAAGCUACUUGUUCUAAGCACGACGAAGCAUUAACCUAGGCCUAUUAUCUAUUCAAAUUACCUCAGGUAUAACAUGAAUAACGAUGGAUAAACAACAUCAUAAUAAUAGGUUACCCAUAAAAUAAAUACAAUAAAUACUUUGAGUAAAAUAAUGCAGGUUUGAAUAAAUAUAGCAAACACUUUGCAAUAAUAGGUUCAAUAUGAUCAAGAUGAGUGCCACUUGUCUUGCUCUGGCCCUUGGGGUACUUCGGCGAUGAUCUCGAAAUAAACUGGUGCUUCGGCGUGGUCCGAAUCUAAGCGACAAAGCACAAAAAUAACUAAACAGGCACAAACUCUAGCAAAAGAAAGGAUUUUUAAUGGAUUGUUGACAAUUUUAUGAAUUUAAUGAAAGUUGAAUGGACUUAAACGGAGACCGAAUGAAUUAGUUAUGAAUUUUAGAAGUUUAACUGUGUUUUCAACUAAACAGAAAAGUCCUAAAUCAAUUAUUGCGCAAUUAAGGGAGGCUGUUGACGUCAGCAGAGGGAGGAGGCGGCUGACAGGUGUGGUCCACCUGCCGGUGACAGUGGGGAGAGAAAGGAAUUUGACAGAAGGGCCCAAGAGGAGGAGAGGGGGAGAGAGAGGGAAGGGGGCCCGACGGGUGGAGACCAUCGGUCGAUGACCCGGGGAAGAGAGGGGAGGGAGACGGCGCUGGCCGAGUAGGGGAGGGCGGUGGCGUCCGNNNNNNNNNNNNNNNNNNNNNNNNNNNNNNNNNNNNNNNNNNNNNNNNNNNNNNNNNNNNNNNNNNNNNNNNNNNNNNNNNNNNNNNNNNNNNNNNNNNNNNNNNNNNNNNNNNNNNNNNNNNNNNNNNNNNNNNNNNNNNNNNNNNNNNNNNNNNNNNNNNNNNNNNNNNNNNNNNNNNNNNNNNNNNNNNNNNNNNNNNNNNNNNNNNNNNNNNNNNNNNNNNNNNNNNNNNNNNNNNNNNNNNNNNNNNNNNNNNNNNNNNNNNNNNNNNNNNNNNNNNNNNNNNNNNNNNNNNNNNNNNNNNNNNNNNNNNNNNNNNNNNNNNNNNNNNNNNNNNNNNNNNNNNNNNNNNNNNNNNNNNNNNNNNNNNNNNNNNNNNNNNNNNNNNNNNNNNNNNNNNNNNNNNNNNNNNNNNNNNNNNNNNNNNNNNNNNNNNNNNNNNNNNNNNNNNNNNNNNNNNNNNNNNNNNNNNNNNNNNNNNNNNNNNNNNNNNNNNNNNNNNNNNNNNNNNNNNNNNNNNNNNNNNNNNNNNNNNNNNNNNNNNNNNNNNNNNNNNNNNNNNNNNNNNNNNNNNNNNNNNNNNNNNNNNNNNNNNNNNNNNNNNNNNNNNNNNNNNNNNNNNNNNNNNNNNNNNNNNNNNGGGGUAGCUGGGCCGAGGCGGCCUCGCUGGGAGAGAAGAGCGCGUGCGGCCGCGGGAGAGAGGGAGGUAGGCCGCGCGGCUGGGCCGGCCCAGGACGAGGUGAGGGAGGAGAAGGAGGAGGAGGGAGGAAGGAGAGAUUGGGCUGCGACCCAAUCCGGAAAAAGAAAGAAAAAAGAAAGAAAAGGGGAGAAAAAAGGACGGCAAAAAGGAAAAAAGGAAAGCCUCAGAUUUUUGCCGAGUUUUAAAUUAAUUUUUUGUGUGAAAUUUUAUACUCUGCCGUUUGAGUUAUAUCCCGUUACGAUUUGCGUACUUCUAAUUCAAAUAAAUUAAUUCCUUUAGAGGGGUUUUUCCUGAGUUAAUUAAGCCAAUUAUUAUUUUGCCGAGUUUUAAAUUAAAUUUUGGGCGAAAUUUUAUACUCUGCCGUUUGAGUUUAAAUCCCGUUACGAUUUGCGAACUUCUGGUUCAAAUAAAUUAAUUCCUUUAGAGGGGUUUUUUCUUAGUUAAUUAAGCCAAUUAUUAUUUACGAAUUUCUUUUACGGAUUUAGGCUUAGGAUUAAACUCCGGGUGUGACAAUAUAUGAUAUACAAUUGUACACUACCAUGCCCCCUUUCUGUUUCAAAGUUGAACAAGCCUCACUAACGUAUGAAGGUUCUUUAGAUCAAAGUUUUUUUAAAAAAAAAGUACAAUAAUUUAAUCCAGAUAGAUAAAUUCUAGGUAAACUGUAUUUGGGGCUACCUUUUAUUACUUAACUUUUCGUUGAAUCACUGUAAACAAUAUUUCUCAUCGUAUAUGCCUUCAUUUUGCAAAAGUGUGAAGUACAUCUAGAUGAGAGUUAACUGGUGUAAUAUAAUAGAGCCGAUGUAUUUGAAGUCAUUUAUGCAUGCCAAAAAAAUAUUUGGGAUGGUUUAAACCACAAUAAAUAUAAAUUUACUCCGUCUAAAACGAAAAAAUAUGUUUAAGCAUAGUCCAAAGUAAAAUCUAGAGAAUAAAAUAUGGUUCAAUGUUUAAUUGACUAUAAAUUAUGUGCAAGUCAUUUGGGUUGUUUGAUUCAUAACUAACGUUGCAAACUUUUUGCGGUAAUAAGAAUGUGGAAUAAAAAGUCUAUAACAAAUGGAAGUGACAAGCUAUAACUAUAGUGAUUAAGCAAACAAAAACGUCAGACGACGUAUUGUGUGGCACAUCUAAGAUGUGAAUAUGUGAUGCGGUAAGUUGAGAUUUUAACCAAACAUGGUCCGUAGGAUUAAUUUUAUUUAGAGUAAAAAUACAAUAGGAAACCUUGCAUGAAGUCCAAAAUCAUGUUUCAAAAGAUUCUGUAAUAAAUUAAUAUAGAAUUCUAAAUUUACAUCAAGCACAUGUUUUAAGCAGAUUAAAUGGGUAGUUUUAUUUACUGUGGGGUUUCACAUGACAAAAAACUACCUAGACAGCCCUAAGUCAUAACUUUUCUCGUCUUAACCUAUCAAUUUCCAGUCUCAAUGUAUCUUUUGACAACAAAAAGGUCUGAUUUUAUACCGAACACACCACUCUCAAUUUUUCGAUCCAAGUACAUUACCAAAACUAUAUUAAAACAUGAACUCUGUAUAGACCCUCAACCAGGAUCUCCGUCUUCCAAAUAGGAUGAAGCCACUCAAAGAGAACUGUGCACACAAUGCAAGUGGUUUUGAGUGGGGUUCUAAGUGGGACUAGAUUCUUUUUUAUUACAGACUUCGGUCCUCCUCUCUCACGCUAUCUCCUCUCUCCCGUCACUCUCCUCUCUCUCUCCGUCCCUCAUCCUCUCCGACCUCGCCGGCGGCGAAGCGAGCCCAACCGACGACGGAUGGAGCUAGGGCGGCGGUAGCUCGAGGUCACCAGCGAUGGCCCGACCUUCAUGGUUGUUGCAGCGGCGCGCCGACCUCGGCAGAGUCAGGUCGCGAUCGGCGGUGGCAGGUGGACCACGGCGGGGACGCGCGGACCUCGGUAGCGACGGGCGAACUCAGCUCGGACAGGCGAACCUCGGCAGCCGCAGGACGACCUCGGCGUCUUUCUCGAGGGCGGACGUGUCCCGGCGGCAGAUCUCGGGGCUGGCGCAUCUUGGCGAUGCCUUCCUCGCGGCGGAGCUCGCUAGCAGCCACGUCCCGAUGAUGGAGCUCCACAGAUCUGGCCGGAGUUCACGCUGCAACAUGAUUCGUCACAUGACGUCUCUCUCCUCUCCCUGCACGCCUCUCUUCUCUCUCCGCAGCUUUUUGGCCUAGAGCAACCAUGCCUAUACUUAGGCCUUGUACAGUUCCAAAAAGUUUUUUUAAAAAAUAUCGUAUCGAAUUUUUGGACAUCUAAAUAAAAACAUUAAAUAUAGAUAAACCAAAAAACUAAUUGUACAAUUAUGGAUGCAUAAAUCUUGAAGAAAUCUUGAGACGAAUCUUUUGAGCCUAAUUAGCCCUUGAUUAGCUAUAAGUGCUAUAGUAAUCAACAUGUGUUAAUGACGGAUUAAUUAGGCACAAAAGAUUCGUCUCGCGGUUUCUAGGCUAGCAGUGAAAUUCGUUUUUUCAUUCGUGUUCCAAAACCACUUCCGACAUCCGGUUAAACAUUUAACGUAACACUUUUCUCAAAAAAAAAUUCAAUCUAAACACCACCUUAUUGUUUGAUCAUAGCUAUUAAAAAAAAUCUUUCAUUCGAGUCUUUCCCUAGAAUAACUGUCAUGCUCACUGUGACCCGGACUCAAGAAAACAGGUAAGGUGAAAUGUAGCACGCCACCACGUGACACUUCUUCUAAAAAAAUUUUUAAUCUAAACACCACCUUAGCGUUUGAUCAUAGCUAUUAAAAAAAUGUUUCGUUCGAGUCUUAAAGAUGUCCCUAGAAUAACUGUCAUGCUCACUGUAACCCGGACUAAGAAAACAGGUAAGGAGAAAUGUAGCACGCCACCAACACUAAGGUGGUGUUUAGAUUGAGAAAAUUUUUGGGAAAAGUGUCAUGUUAAAUUUUUGAUCAGAUGUCGGAGGGGCUAGCCUAGAAACCGCGAGACGAGUCUUUUGAGCCUAAUUAAUCCGUCAUUAGCACAUGUUGGUUACUGUAGCACUUAUGGGUAAUCAUGAACUAAUUAGGCUCAAAAGAUUUAUCUUAAGAUUUCUUCCAUAACUGUGUAAUUAGUUUUUUGGUUCAUCUAUGUUUAAUGCUUUAUUUAGGUGUUAAAAAUUUGAUGCGAUAGUUUUUUGAAAAACUUUUUAUCCAAACAGGGCGUAAAACCGUGGACGGGUGGGGUGGAGAUUAGUGAUUUGCAUGCUAGUUAAUUAUUAGCAAAUGGUGUAUGUGCCCAUGCAGCUAAGAGCAUGUAUCAUUGAGAGAAAAACGGUGAAGUUUGUUGCUGCAUGUACGUGUGGAUGCAUAGAGACGUGCAGUGAUUAGUGGGUGGUUAAGUGAUCGAGUGAGUGGCCGGAUGUGCGGCCAACGUGCUGUGAGUGUAUGCUAUUUAAGCAGUGUAUUAGCUUGUGUUUUGUGUUUUGUAAAGUGAAUAACAGGAGAGCUGGUGAGUGGUUGUGUGGUGCUGGCGUGCAGCACUAAAAAUUCCUUAGUCCAUUGUGUUUGUGCAUCUUCUGUGUGUGUGCUCGUGUGAGAGAAGGUGAGCUGGGCCAUCACUACACGGACCUGCCACCGGCGCUGCUGUCAGUAGUAGUAGUAGCAGAAGAGCCAUGUCGCGCGACAAUCGCCGCAUGCACGGAUAUACCGGAGCGGCGCGCGGCGGGGAGCCCCACUUCCACUUAGCAGGUCACUCACGCUCACGCAGGGCGCGGGGCCCGGCCGACCGAGAAGGCCCAGCGCAUUGCAUGCGUUUUCGAUCAUAUCCGCGGCCACGCCCGUCUCCAAUUCCGGUCGCCGGGUCACGCUCACAUGGCCUCGCUGUACCGCGGGCCUAUGCCUUACCCCCAUCACUCUCUCUCCUAUGAUGUGUCGCUACCUACCAAGCUUCGAUGGCACAAGCCCACACCUUUCCCUCUCUCCUCUUUGUAAUGACAGCACGGCGCCUCAAUAUAUAAAACCGGCCAGUCUCACGCUCGCGGCUCGCCCCUCCACAUCCAUCAGAGAAGAGAGAGAGAGACGAGACGAGAGCGCAGGAGAGCUCAGAGAGUGUGUGGUGUGUGUUGAGCUUGCUGAAAGGGGAGCGGCAAUGUCGAAGGAGGUGAGCGAGGAGCCGGAGCACGCGCGGCCCAAGGACUACACGGACCCGCCGCCGGCGCCGCUGUUCGACGUCGGAGAGCUCCGGCUGUGGUCCUUCUACCGAGCGCUCAUCGCGGAGUUCAUCGCCACGCUCCUGUUCCUGUACAUCACGGUGGCCACCGUCAUCGGGUACAAGGUGCAGUCCUCCGCCGACCAGUGCGGCGGCGUUGGCACGCUCGGCAUCGCCUGGGCCUUCGGUGGCAUGAUCUUCAUCCUCGUCUACUGCACUGCCGGCAUCUCGGGUCCGUGCUCCCUCGGCUUCUAGCUUCAGCUUGGAGCCUUGGAGUACAAAAGUUAUAACUAUGGCCGUGGAGCUAAAUGUACGUAGUGUGUGGGCAUGGUGGCGUGCAGGAGGGCACAUCAACCCGGCGGUGACGUUCGGGUUGCUGCUGGCGAGGAAGGUGUCGGUGAUUCGCGCGGUGAUGUACAUCGUGGCGCAGUGCCUGGGCGGCAUCGUGGGCGUGGGCAUCGUCAAGGGCAUCAUGAAGCACCAGUACAACGCCAACGGCGGCGGCGCCAACGUGGUGGCCAGCGGCUACUCCAACGGCACCGCCCUCGGCGCCGAGAUCAUCGGCACCUUCGUCCUCGUCUACACCGUCUUCUCCGCCACCGACCCCAAGCGCAACGCCCGCGACUCCCACGUCCCGGUACGCGUACAUCACACCACCUCACCUCGAUCUCCUUUUUCUCUGUGUGAACGUACUACGUAGCUCGUGCUAAGGGCUUGUUUAGUUCCCAAAUUUCUUUUCUAAAAAUAUUACAUGAAAUCUUUGAACAACUAAAUAAAAUAUUAAACAUAGAUGAACCAAAAAACUAAUUUCAUAAUUAUGAAAGAAAUAUAAAUAUUGAGACGAAUGUUUUGAGCCUAACUAAUUAGUUCAUGAUUAGCUAUAAAUGCCAUAGUAACCAACGUAUACUAAUGAUGAUGGAUUAAUUAGGUUCAAAAGAUUCGUCUCGGUUUCUAUGCUAACCGUGAAAUUCGUUUUUUAUUCAUGUUCAAAAAAUUCAAUCGACAUCUUAUCAAUCAUUUGACAUGACCAUUCUCCUAAAAAUUUUCUCACCACCUCCUAAGUGUGCACGCUGCCUUGCCUGCUCUGUGCAGGUGCUCGCGCCGCUCCCCAUCGGGUUCGCCGUGUUCAUGGUGCACCUGGCCACCAUCCCCAUCACCGGCACCGGCAUCAACCCUGCCCGGAGCAUCGGCGCCGCCGUCAUCUACAACCAGAAGAAGGCAUGGGACGACCACGUAAGCUGCCACCACCUUAUUUCGACCUCUCACUACAACACAAUCUGUUCUUGUGUUCGUUUUAUCAAGUUAAUGAUUUUUGCCUGCGUGCAGUGGAUCUUCUGGGCGGGGCCGUUCAUCGGAGCACUGGCGGCGGCGGCGUACCACCAGUACAUCCUCCGCGCGGCGGCCAUCAAGGCGCUCGGUUCCUUCCGGAGCAACCCCAGCAACUGAGCUCUAGAUAGCUGCUUCUGCUGCUGCUGCUGCUGCUGCUGCUGCUGCUGCUGCUGCUGCUGCUGCUGCUGCUGCUGCUGCUGCUGCUGCUGCUGCUGCUGCUGCUGCUGCUGCUGCUGCUGCUGCUGCUGCUGCUGCUGCUGCUGCUGCUGCUGCUGCUGCUGCUGCUGCUGCUGCUGCUGCUGCUGCUGCUGCUGCUGCUGCUGCUGCUGCUGCUGCUGCUGCUGCUGCUGCUGCUGCUGCUGCUGCUGCUGCUGCUGCUGCUGCUGCUGCUGCUGCUGCUGCUGCUGCUGCUGCUGCUGCUGCUGCUGCUGCUGCUGCUGCUGCUGCUGCUGCUGCUGCUGCUGCUGCUGCUGCUGCUGCUGCUGCUGCUGCUGCUGCUGCUGCUGCUGCUGCUGCUGCUGCUGCUGCUGCUGCUGCUGCUGCUGCUGCUGCUGCUGCUGCUGCUGCUGCUGCUGCUGCUGCUGCUGCUGCUGCUGCUGCUGCUGCUGCUGCUGCUGCUGCUGCUGCUGCUGCUGCUGCUGCUGCUGCUGCUGCUGCUGCUGCUGCUGCUGCUGCUGCUGCUGCUGCUGCUGCUGCUGCUGCUGCUGCUGCUGCUGCUGCUGCUGCUGCUGCUGCUGCUGCUGCUGCUGCUGCUGCUGCUGCUGCUGCUGCUGCUGCUGCUGCUGCUGCUGCUGCUGCUGCUGCUGCUGCUGCUGCUGCUGCUGCUGCUGCUGCUGCUGCUGCUGCUGCUGCUGCUGCUGCUGCUGCUGCUGCUGCUGCUGCUGCUGCUGCUGCUGCUGCUGCUGCUGCUGCUGCUGCUGCUGCUGCUGCUGCUGCUGCUGCUGCUGCUGCUGCUGCUGCUGCUGCUGCUGCUGCUGCUGCUGCUGCUGCUGCUGCUGCUGCUGCUGCUGCUGCUGCUGCUGCUGCUGCUGCUGCUGCUGCUGCUGCUGCUGCUGCUGCUGCUGCUGCUGCUGCUGCUGCUGCUGCUGCUGCUGCUGCUGCUGCUGCUGCUGCUGCUGCUGCUGCUGCUGCUGCUGCUGCUGCUGCUGCUGCUGCUGCUGCUGCUGCUGCUGCUGCUGCUGCUGCUGCUGCUGCUGCUGCUGCUGCUGCUGCUGCUGCUGCUGCUGCUGCUGCUGCUGCUGCUGCUGCUGCUGCUGCUGCUGCUGCUGCUGCUGCUGCUGCUGCUGCUGCUGCUGCUGCUGCUGCUGCUGCUGCUGCUGGUGCUCCACCCUGGCCUGGCUGGACUUGGUCAUAUCGUCACCAUCAUCGUCGAUUUGCAUGUUCGAGUGAGAGUGAGUGAGUGAGAAGGGUGGGGGGCGUGCCAGCCAGGGUGCACGAUUUGUUUGUUUCUUCCAGCUUAAAUUAUCACCGUUGUAACUUGUUGUUAAUUAAACCGGUGGGGAUCUCUUUGUUGUAUGUACCUCGAUUAAUUAGUUUUUGCUUGUUGUAAUCAGUGUUAGACGCACAACAAUGUCAGUUCAGUCGAUCGGCUACCCUUUGUAAAACCGCUGUAAGAACUU
Molecule: long non-coding RNA, 13261 nt
Filed under: Oryza brachyantha (malo sina)
Lineage: Eukaryota; Viridiplantae; Streptophyta; Magnoliopsida; Poales; Poaceae
Description: long non-coding RNA (OBRA_LNC003378)
Rfam family: MIR812 microRNA precursor family (bases 2100-2292)
Source: RNAcentral